This 11602-nucleotide long non-coding RNA is filed under the name Homo sapiens (human). RNAcentral describes it as "non-protein coding lnc-LAMB3-7:2". The record is from RNAcentral. Lineage: Eukaryota; Metazoa; Chordata; Mammalia; Primates; Hominidae.
AAGCGGCUGAGCGGCUGGGAUACAAGUGGUUGAGCAGCAAACAGAGAAGCAGCAACUGAGUGUCCGAGACCACAGAUAGACACGGCUAACUUCAGAUGGUGCAGCUUCAGGGAAAGAUCACCUUCUUCCUGCACCAUCCCUUUUCCAAUUCUCCAUCCCACUGAAAACUGCUUUUAUUACCCAAUAAAAUCCUCCACACACACUACCCUUCAACCCAUUCAUGGGACCUCAUUCUUCCCAGAUGCUGGACGAGAACUCAGGUGCCGAGAGGGCAGGGGCUCGGAGGCUGCUGCGGGGCCCACACAGAGCCUGUUCUCACCAGAGAGAAGUGACCCCCGGUUCCAGUAUUCACUCACUCCAGUUCCCGCACUCGCUUGCUUGUGUAGCAGGACAAGCCGCAGACAAAACCCCUCAGACACCGAGUUAAAGAAGGAAGGGUUUUAUUCGGCUGGAAGGUUCAGCAAGACUCACGUCUCCAACAACUGAGCUCCCCAGACUUGGUGUCUCCCUCUAUUGCCCAGGCUGGAGUGCAGUGGCAUAAUCAGAUUAUGUCUCCUGGGCUCAAGUGACCUUCCUGCUUCAGUCUCCCAACUUGCUGGGACUACAGAAGCAGUCAGAGGAGCUGCCAGCUUCCAUUCCAGUAUAAUAUAUAAAUGGGAUGCUUUCAACAGGACAAGAUGAAAGGGAAAAGAGUUAGCCAGCAUCGGCAAGCUUUAGUAAAGACCCCUCUUCUCCCUAUACAUCUGUAACAUCAAUUAGAGACUUGCUUUCUAGCUAACUCCUUUUUUAAGACAAAAUCCCUUAUGAAAGUUAAACCUUAUAUUCUCACCUUAGUAUAAAUUUCUUUAAUCAGACAAUUAAAUUGCUUUCUUUUGAAUACUUAGAAUCACGAACAGAUUUUUUUUUUUUCAUUUUAAUUAAUUUUUUUGGGUGGUAAUAGUGACUCGGACCAUGUAACACUUAGGAGAGAAAAUUCAAUGAGAAAGUGGGGAAGCUUUGGGAAGCUGAAGGGGAGCUGAAAAACACUGCUCCCUGAAAAAGUGAGAAGGAUAAGGGAAAAGCUGAAGAUUGGAAGAAGAGAAGGCCCAACCAAAAUUUUUCCUUCGUGUAAUUUUGUGUGUGUGUGUGUGUGUGGACUCAACUCUUUGUCUUCAUCCGCUGAAAAAUCACCCAAAUGACCAUUGUCCUAUGGGAUGAAGGUAAUUACCAAUUCCUUGAACAGAACUAAUAGCCCGUCAAGAUAGUUUCCCAGGAAAUAAAUGGCGAGGUUGCAGCAGUCACUCAUCCAAUCAGAGUACUAAAAAAAAGCCAUUCUCAUCUGGGAGGAGUUGUUGCCCUAUUAGAUAUAUGUGGCUGGAAAUGUUAUCUCGGUUGCAGAAAGAUUUUACCAAAAAAAACCCUGCUUUUGUUUGUUCUAAUGCCUCAGAAAUCUGUCCCCCAUGCUAUCUGAUCAUCCUGUGGCCAAUCCCUAAAAGGAAAACUGUUCCAGAAUGGGAUAUGAGCCACUGAAAUCUCAGAUAAGUAAAAAACAAUAUAUACAGUCACUAAAUAAUGCUUCCAGUAAGUAGGCCGUAAGAGAGAAGAGGUUGCUCUUAUCAAACAAAGGCUAAGAGAGAGAGAAACAAAUUUAGAAUGUUUUGCCAUGUCCAUGUAGCUUUUAAUUAUAUUGUCUUUUCAGAUUCUAAUACGGCAGAGAGGACCCAUGUUGGAAUGGCUGUGGCCAGUUUUCUACAGAGCCACCCUCUAUAUUGUUCAGUGGGACCUCACAUGGCAGAAUAAAGACCUAUAGUUAUAGGUGACAGUUCCAGCAAUGCAAUUUACUAAAUGAGAAUGUCAUAAAUGCUCUAGUGCUAAAGAGAUUCAUGUUAGGAUGCUGAAGGUUGGAGAAUAAAUUUAAGUGUCAUUUGGGGGUAGGCUUGGUGACCAACUAAUCUGUUGGCCCAGGGCUCUCCUGUUCCGUGUGUUGAACAGCCCCUCCGUUCCAGGCAAACCUGGACAAUUGAUCACCCACCCAGCAGACCAGGCUUGGUGAUUUAUAAGGCUUUUUUCAAACCCUAAAAUCCCUUUAUUCUGAUGCAUGUAUAUAUAAGUCCAGUGUUGCUUUCAUGAACUCUAUAAUAGAAAACAAUAAUGGUGUCAUUCACUCGGCCUAGAGGGCAGAGUGAUAGACUGGGAAGUGGUCGUUCUACCAGUAAACCACUGUGUGACCUUGGGAGAAAUCUGUCCUCUGUGAGUCUUUUUUUUUCCUCAAAGAGAAAAAAUUCACAGGAAUCUUUUAUAAGAUUCUUUCCAACUGUACCACUCUAUGGCUUUUUCCUAUGCAUUUGAAGUGUUUCAUGCUAGUCUUGAGAAGAUGCUCUUGCAUACCAAUUCUCCAUUUACCUGUGUGUUUAAGGACAGGGAGGGUGCAGUGAAGGAGGUGAGGAAUGCAAGAGUGUAGAGAUAAAAAUAAGGUGUAAAAAGGACAGCAAAAAAAGAAAAAAAAAGAAAAAACAUUCAGAGCUUUUAUUUCAAGGAAUCAGAGGAUAUAUUAUACAUCUAUUCAUUUUCUAUCACUGAAUUCCUUUUGGGGGCAUAACAAACAAAACCUCUCCUUCCCCCAUUUUAGCUACAGAGAGAAAAAGGAGUUUCUCUAAGGCUACACAGUAAAUUAAUGACAAAGGUAAGACGUCGAGUUUAUGUCUCCAGGACUGCACUAUUUACCUGCCAGGCUGUGCUGCCUAUGAAGUGUCCCUAACUAAAGUACCUGCUCCCUUCUCUUUUCAUUUUUGAACCAAAGAGGGAAGCAUUAUGUCUGAUAAAAGAAAACAUAGUAGAUAGGGAGUAAUUUUCAGGCUCCUGCUCUUCUCCCAACUCAUUGUCCAACCCUUGGCAUUGUUGACAAUUUCAGAUAUGGGUUAAAUACAGCAAGGGGAAGUCAAUGCUACACCUUAAAAAUUAAUUGUUCAAGUACUAGGUCAUUUCAGAGUAAUGCACCGUGAAAUUAUGUUAUUCUCCAGAAGAAUUUCCAUAAAGUUUAACAUGCCAUGACACAUUCUUUUUCCAUUGGAGUUAGUUUUUUAAAAAGUACAUAAAAAAGAGUCUUUGGAGUCCAGGGGUGUGUGUAAACCUUGCUGCAGACAAAGCAGAAUGUGUUAGGCAGGGCUUUCAGAGCAGCAGAUGCUACAGGAUCGCUGCUAAGGGAGACUCCAUUACCCAAGCAUUGCCUAUAAAAGCACGGCCUGGGCUGGUAUCUGCGGAGGCAAGCGCGGAAGAAGUCAUUAGUCUUGGUGCUUUUUUACUGUUAUUCACACUGGGAUAAUGAGAUUAUUGGAAUAUUUUUUUUUCCUAAUGAGAAUGAGACAGAAUACCUUGGUCUCUAAAUGAUUUAGUCACAGAGGGAACACAUUACUCUUCCCUUGAUUGCUGUCAAAUGCUGGAAAAUUGGAAUAUUAUAUUUAUCGUGAUGGGCAAUAUUUUUCCUGCCUUCUAGGUGUCAAAUGAGCUGGGAAAAAUAUUUGUCUGAAAAGCAGACUCCUUUACAAGGUUUACGGAAAGGAAGACAAAUGAAGAUGCAGGAUAAGGAUCUGGGGGCGGAGGUUAGAAGGAUAGGAUAAUUGGAGGAUGGCUUUUCGCUAUUUUUUUUUUUCCAACCGUAAAACUAUCCCCUUGUUUUGAUUUCCUACAUUCUUCUCUUCCAGUUAGCUCACCAGUGUUUGGGGCUAAUUAGACACUGUUUAGAUUCAGAAUAGAAGGUUAAUUUCAAGGGGAAAUGGGUUUGUGUUGGUCUGGAGGUCAUUAGUGCAGCUAGUUAAUUUGUGUUUCUUGGGAAGGAAUAACAUUCUGGGGCUGGAGAAUUUUUUUUGUAGGGGGAAGUAAGAAGGAUUUUUCAGUCUUAUUCUCAAGAACCUUUCACUUGAUACUUGUCAGCUCAAAGUUUAUGGGGCCAAUACAGACUAAUUGGUUGGCCUGGUGCAAUGAGUUUCAACACUGGUCAUAUAUGGGUGGCUUCGCAGCCAAGGUGAACAAAGAAAUCCCGAGUUCUAACUUCUGCUCCUGCCCCACCACCAAACUUCUUCUCCACGAAGGUCAAAAACAUCUGAAAAACAGACAAACAAAAAAUUAACAAGUAAAAUAUUUCAUGCUGUCAUUACGUGCUGGCUUUCAGAAGGCCAUCACCCUGUUUCUACAUCACAAUAAGAAAUGUUAGUGUUCUUGAUGUAACAGGUGGAAGAAUCUUACAGCAUGAGCAUUAGUCCUCUGAUUUGCAGAUACCACUCUUUAUUAGAUUCAUUCAGAGAUCUUAUAAAUAGAGAAAUUUCGGCUCACCCUCUGUGGGCUUAUUCAUCUGUAUUUUACAAUUUCCCAGAAAAUUUUGUUGCAGACUGUCUUCAGUAUUUGGGAAUGAAUGAAAUCCAACAGACAUGUUAUUAUAGAAGAGGGCAGGGCUUCUUAGGAAGUAAAUUGACUUGUCUAAGACAACACAACUAACAAGUGACAGAGCUGGGACUUGGUCUCAUAGCUAAGGGUGGUGGGAUUUGCUUGAUCCAUGCUGGAUCCUUGUUCUCUUAAUGCCUCAGUGGUCUGGUCUCUUCCUUCCUCCCUUUCCUCAUUUAACAGUGUGGCAUGUGAAUUGUCAGUAAUUAAUAGUUCUAUGGCGUUUGCUGACAUCUUCCUUUGUGCCUUCCUGUGAGGCUCUGAGACAUAAUCCUUACUCUUAAGGAACAAUUAGAUUUGCAGAAACAAAACACAUAGCCAUAAACAUAAACUAUGAUGGCUUUUAUAGGGAAAGGAGAUGCUCUAAAUGCUUAGGAUAGUUGAGGAGGGGGCCAGAUAUAGACAUAGAAGACAAUGUGGAAAUGAGAUGCAUGAUGUGGUCAAACUUAACACCUAGAAGCUUCUGGAAGCAGUUUUACAUUUCAUUAUCAACGUAUCUGUCAUUGUGUAUCACAAUGUCUUCUGAGAUCAAGGAUUGUAUCUUCUUGCCAUGAAUCCCCAGAAAGGUAAAAUUCCUUAGUUCCCGGAAAGAGGGCAUUCAUUUAGCAUAGAUAAAAUUGUCAAAAUCCAGCUCCUCCAUAAAAUUUCCCACCCCUGGCUAAGAACCUCUCCUUUGAAAUUCUAAAACCUACCUCUAUGGUGAAUGUAGUAAAAUCUAACUUAUAAUAUUAGUAUUUGUGUCUAUAAUUUAGCCCCAACUGAACUGUAUGCAAUUUGAAAGCAGAAACCAUACAUCUUGUUCAUUUCUGUAUCCCACUGCUGAAGAUUACUAGUGGGUCUUGCCUGUAAUUGGUGCCUGAUCUCUUUGUAUUAAAUUAAUAAAGCAGGCAAAAAGUGCCAUGGAAGGGAACCCCCUAAUGCAGUGAAUGGUUCUCUACUGCACCCUGACAUAUACCUCCUGUCUCAGUCUGUUUGUGCAGCUAUAUAACAGGAUACCACAAAAUAGGUAAUUUAUAAAGAAUGGACAUUUAUUUCCUCACAGUUUUGGAAGCUGGGAAGUUUAAGAUGAGGGUCUGGCAUCUGGUUGGUGUCUUCCUUCUGCAUUGUCUCAUGGUGGAAGGCAGAAGGGUGAGAGAGAGUAAGAGGGGUCAAACCCACUCCCAAUAUCAUAAAAUCCCUCCCAACAUAAUGCAUAAAUCCAUCCAUGAGGGCAGAAUUAAAUUUCAACAUGAGUUUUGCAGGGGGCAAACAUUUAAAACAUUGCACCUCUUUUGUCACUUGCCACUUCUUUCUUUUUCUGCUUUGAUGUCUUCCCAAGAGUCAUUGCAGGUUCUCAGAUGUCUUACUUGUCUCUUUUACCUCCUUCUUUGCCUUAUUUGUUUUCCUUGCUUAGAGUCACCAACAGAAACAUUACUUAGUCCAUUAGUGGGUCUAUAAGACAUAGGAAAAAAAAAACACAAAGUGUUUUUCUCUACGCUCACACAGUCACUAUAACAUAGAACACUUUGCCUCUGGUCACCAAAACACAUGGGGGUUUUUCCCCACGCACCAACCAAGCAAUUCCAUAGCAGAUACUAGCUGGGUAUCCUCCACAAUGCAAUUCAAUUGUGACACUAUCUACCUGGAGAAAGUGUCAGAUUCCACAGGUUGAAGGCUGAGUCCCACAAGACUACCCCCAAUUUCAGAUGCUAGUUGCAAGUAGCAGAUUGACAUUUUAUACUUUUGACCCACUUGUUAUAAAUCAGGGAUUCCCAUGACCCUUUCUUGUUCAAUUAAUUUGCUAGAAUGGCUCACAGAACUUAGGGAAAAAGUGUACUUACUUUAACCUAUUUAAUAUAAAGGAUAUUACAAAGGAUACAAAUAAAUAGCCAGUGGAAGAAAUGUUAGGGUAAUAUAUGAAGGAAGGGGCUUGAAGCUUCCAUGCCUUUUCCGGGGGCACCAGCCUGCAGAAGCCCCCACAUGUUCAGCUAGCCAGAAGCUAGCCAAACCAGGUCCUUUGGGGUUUUUAUGAAGCAUUAUUAUGCAGGCAUGAUUGAUUAAAUUAUUGACCAUUAGUAAUCAACUUAGUCUUCUUCCUCUCUUUCCUGCCAGGAGGUUGGGUGGUGGGGCUAAAAACUCAAUCCUCUAAUCAUGCCUUGGUAUUUUGAAAGCUAUAUAGGGGUUGCCAGCCACCAGUCAUCUCAUUAGCAUACAAAAAAUCACUUUUCUUAUUCCAGAGAUCCCAAGGGUUUUAGGAGGUGUGGGCCAGGAAAUGUGGAGAAAGAGGUCCAAAUAUAUAUUUCACAAUAACAUAGUAGGUCAGUGGUCCUUACUGCAGCUGAGGAUCAUGAUUAGGUUUAGGAAUCUAGCAUCAGUUUGUAUCAGAAUGCAAAUAACUUCCUGGGACGUGAGAGAUAGUGUAUUCUAGUCAUGCUUAGUUAGCUUCAAGAUAGCUUGCAUCUCAUCCCAGUAAAACCACUUAUUUAUAACAUAUCAACGUAUUGACAAGGUUGAAGAGCAAGAUUGUUCUGAGGUGAGAUGCAAAUUUCAAAGGGGUGAGCACUAAUUGUUCCAGUGAUUGUUUAUUUAUUGGCUAGGACAUAAUUACUCUCUUUGAGGUUACACAUCUGCCUCCAGGUUCCUGUGUGCUUGUGCCCUUGGGAUCAGGCCAGGGCAGACUGUGAUCACUGAGAUUCAAACUCCCAGAGUAAUCAGCAAGAGCUUUCUAGAGACCAAGGCCAGGCCUGAUCCCUGAGGGAUGCAUGAGAAGGCUUGGAAUCUCAUUCUGCUAUGGUGGCUCUCUCUUGAUCUUCUUGGAGUAGCAGAAACAGCAAUGUGGGCCCAAUGGUGUGGCCUAAAUGAUCACAAAGGUAAAUGAGUAAAGGGCUCAGCAGAUGAGUAAGGAGCCUUGUCCUGAGAAAUUAGCACUGGGCUCUGCAUUCAGAAACAUGUGAUAAGCAUUGCCCAUUGCACAUUGCCUUUAUUGUGUAAGGACAUGAAAUUCCAGUUUUGCAUAGCUAGUGAUGAAUACCUGAAGGGAAUUGCAGACAUAUUUUAUUUUAUUUUUAAUUGACAGAUGGAAUUGUAUAUAUUUAUCAUGUACAUAAUCAUGCUUUAAAAUAUGUACAUUAUGGAAUGGCUAAAUCAAACUAACCUAGGCAUUAUCUCAUAUAAUUGUCAUUUUUGUGGCGAGAAGACUAAAAAUCUACCCUUUCAGCAUUUUUAAAGAAUACAAUGUGUUUUAUUAACAACAGUCACCAUUUGGUACACUAGAUCUCUUGAACUUCUUCCUCUUAUCUAACUGAGAUCUUGUAACCUUUGAUAACAGCUCCCAAGCCCUUCCCCAACCACUGCUCCACCCGUGGUAACCACCAUUCUAUUCUCAACUUCCUGGUAAUCACCAUUCUAGACACAGGGAAGACUCUCUACCCUCUGAGGGUUCAAUAUUUGAGUCUAUGAAAUAAACAGACAGUAGGCAGAGUAACAGGAGAAAAAGUACACAGUAGUUCCAGCUUAUCUUUGAUUUUUCUUUCUGCAGUUUGUUAACCUCAGUCAAAACAUCAAAUGGAAAAUUCCAGAAAUAAACAAUUCUUAAGCUUGAAAUUGCAUUCCAUUCUGAGUAGCAUGAUGAUACCUUGUGCCAUCCCACUCUGUCCUGAUAGGGACAUGAAUCAUCCCUUUGUCCAGUGUAUUCAUACUGUAGAUGCUACCUGCCCAUUACUGUAUGGGAAAAUAUAUAGAAUAUAUAGGGUUCAAUACUCUUCACAGUUUCUGGCAUCCACUGGGGGUCUUGGGAUGUAUUCCUUGUGGGUAAGGGGGGACUAUGAUACAAAGGUAUUACACGCAUGGGGGCAUCACAUGAAGGAAAAGAGAAUACCCCAAAUCCCAGUGAGAUCUAGAAGAGUAUACACCUUCUUUGUAGGAGAGAAGGCAUGGGGGAUGUAAGCGACUUAGCCUAGUUUAAGUGAUUUUUGGAAAAGGUGAAUGGAGCCAGGCAUAAUGGCUCACACUUAUAAUCCUAGUACUUUGGGAGGUUGAGGUAGGAGGAUUGCUUGAGGCCAGGAGUUUGAGACCAGCCUGAGCAACAUAGUGAGACCUUAUUUCUACAAAAACAUUAAACAAUCAGCCAGGCAUGGUGGUGUGCACCUGUAGUCCCAUCUUGGGAGGCUGAGGUGGGAGAAUUCUUUGAGCCCAGGAGAUGAAGGUUGCAGUGAGUUAUGAUUGCACCACCACACCAUAGCCUGGAAGAAAGAGAGAGACCUUGUCUCUAAAAAAAAAUUAAAAAUAAAUAAAUAAUUAAAGAUGAAUAGCCCUCCAGAGAAGUAGGUGACAGCCUGUGACAAAGUCUGUCUGGUCCUGGCAUCAACCUCCCGGCUCCUCUGCUGUGAUCUGAGUUUAAUCUUCCUUGGUUGAUGAGAUUCCCUGGGAGGGCAUUCAUGACAGUUGUGCUCCUCUUGGAGGAUCUGUCUUUAGGUACAUUAAGGAAGUUCAGAGGAAGCCCCUUUCUGCAUUUACUAUUCCUAAGUGCCCUCAGUUUUAAGUCUAAAACAAUACAUUUUGGGGCGGCAUUUUCUGAAUUCCUUCAAGAUCAACUUUUUUAGAUUCUGCAUAUGAGUGAGACCAUGCAGUAUUUGUAUUUCUGUGCCUGGCUUAUUUUGAGAGAAGAGAGACAGACCCUUUCAUGUUGUUUUAUCCUCAGAAAAGGCAAGAGAAGCAAAACUAAAGGCAGGUAGGCUGGCGCCUAGGAACCAGACCCGAAACCAAGACCUGAAAACCAGACCUGAAACCAGGCCUGGGCCUGCCUGACCUAAGCCUGGUAGUUAAAAUUCGACCCCUGACUUAGCAACUGAUGUUAUUUAUAGAUUAUAGAAAGACAUUGUAAAACUUCCCGGUCUGUUCUGUUUCACUCUGACCACCGGUGCACGCGGCCCCUGUCACGUACCCCCUGCUUGCUCAAUCAAUCAUGACCCUCUCACGCGGACCUCCUUAGAGUUGUGAGCCCUUAAAAGGGACAGGAAUUGCUCACCUGGGGAGCUUGGCUCUUGAGACAGGAGUCCUGCCGAUGCUCCCGGCCGAAUAAACCUCUUCCUUCUUUGACUCCGUGUCUGAGGAGUUUUGUCUGCAGCUUGUCGUGCUACAAUUUCACAUAACAAAAUAUGUUAUAGCAGACUCGUCUGACCUCCAUAGAUCCAGCUGCAGAGAAUAGACCCCAGGUUCUGUUCCUGGGUGGUAAGCAAUCAUUCCCAGGCAGUAUGGCUGGGAUCACUUUGGACUCCUCCAGAAACCACCACCGUCCUCAGGAUCAGGAAGGAUGAGACACUUGGACCUUGUCCACCCUGUAUAGCCUGAACCCGGGGGGGGUCUUCAACAUGGAGAUAGAUAGAUAGGUCUGAUUUUUCCAGCUGAAGCACACUUGCAAAGGUCAGCACAAAGCCAGAAACCCAGUAGGUUCUGCCAGCCGCAGCAGACAGUGCCCUGCAGGAAACUUGGUUUUGGGCCUGGGGUGACUUUUGUUUACACUGUUGUCUUACUUGGCUGGGAGCUCUCCCUGGGAGAGUGAAGAGCUGAUGCAGAGAAAUGGCCGAGUGCGGGAGAAAUGGGUUUCCACCAAAGUGAUUUGCUCAAUUUUCUUUUUCUGUAUAUCCUUAUACAUUUUAAGGCAGAUUUAUUGCUAGUAAAAGUGCUGGCUGGACAAAGCUCUCUCAUGCUGUGCGCUUGCUUUUUCUUCUCCUGAAUGUUUUUAAACCUCUCUAGGUGUUUUGUCUUUUUGACAUAGACUGGCAGAGUAGGCAUCCUGGAUUCCCGGUUCACGGCUGUAGGGGCUUUGCUGGCUUGCUGGCUGCCCAGCCUAGCCAACUCCAGCCCUGCAGGGCCCACUCAGCGGGCGUACAGCACCAGAUGGAGAGAGGGAAGGCAGACCCAGCAAGAAUCCUCAAGAAGAGGAGCUAGCAUCCCGGGGAAGAAAAAGAUCGUGCAGGACCAGUUGGACAAGAGCCCAGCUCUGAGUAACUCCCUGCAUUCAGGGAAAAUAAAAUCACAAAUGAGAACAGCAGGGGGCCAAGGACCAGCUGGAGACAAAAGGGUGUUAGCUUCGGGGUGGGGGCUGUGAGACAAGCAAGGUUCUAGUGAGAUAUUCCAAAGUCUGGCCUGCCAUGGACAGCUGCCAUCCGAGCUGCAGGCCUGGAAUGUUGUCACAAGCUCACCGAGCCAUCCUGUCUGCCUCAGCCCAGGACCCGGAAAGACUGAUGAGACAAGAAAGGCCUUGGGCUUCCUCUUGCCUCCUGCAUCUUUUAGCCUUCCCUGAACAACCCUGGCAACUUAGCAGCUAAGGCCAAGAUCCCUUCCCUUAGGCAACUGACAGCAAAAGGAGGAAAAAGAGGAGGAGAGGAAAGACAAGGAGGAGGAGAGAAGAGAAGGAGGAAGAUAAGAUCCUGAAGUUUCCAGACCACAUAAGUUUCAGAGCAAAGGCUUCUCCUCACCACCCUCAUUCCUGAAACACUAACUCCCCACCAGCAGCUGAAACGGUCUUUCCGGAGGGUUAUGAGCUCUCCACAUUUCAGAACAGUGAAUAGAAAUAUAAAUCAAUAGGAAGGGGGUGGCCUCAGCCUGGCUGUCCCUGUCCUGUUGGGCAUGCCACUUGCUCUGUCUCAUCCUUGAUUAGCAAAUCAUCCCUGCCUGCAUUCAGACAGAACUUUUCAUCCUGGAAGAUCACAGGCCACGUGCCAAGUCAGAGAGCAUCUCUCUGCUGCCUAAUAAGGCACAACUCAGAAGAUUAAAGACUUCUUCCUCCUCCACCCUGCCCAGAAACAAGAGGAACAUGAGUCCCAUUUAGUUAUUUCUGUGCAUUAACUGGUGAUCAUUGCUUGAUCUGACUUAAGGCUUUUGAGGCAUUUUCCCACCUGGAUAAAGAUAGGGCUUGAAAAAAGGAAGCCCCAGUGUGUGGAGGGGGUUAGGCUCUCUUAAGCAUAUAAUGCAAUAUGCAUGCACAUUCAUAUUCAUUGUGUGUGCAUACAAAUAUAUGCAUACACAUAUCUAUGUCUAUAUCUAUGUAUAAAUGAAACCAUUAUACAUUUCAAAAAUUUGUAUAAUGCAUUAUAUUACAAAAUAAAAGUAUAUGCAUAUCUUUUAUCACAUUUGUUGUGAUUCACAUGCCAACUUUGCAAGAUACAUAUACCAUUAGAACCCUCAUUUUUUAGAGGAAAUUAAA